Molecule: unclassified non-coding RNA, 200 nt
Filed under: Hypocreales sp.
Lineage: Eukaryota; Fungi; Ascomycota; Sordariomycetes; Hypocreales
Description: partial internal transcribed spacer 2
Source: RNAcentral
UUAAGUUCAGCGGGUAUUCCUACCUGAUCCGAGGUCAACCUUCAGAAGUUGGGUGUUUUACGGCAUGGCCGCGCCGCGUUCCAGAGCGAGGUAUUUUACUACGCAGAGGAGGCUACAGCGAGACCGCCACUAUAUUUCGGAGGCGGCCAGGGCCCCGGGGGGUCACCUAUAGGCCGAUCUCCAACAGCAGGCCCAAUAGG